CCGCGUUUCAUUAGCUAGUUGGUGGGGUAACGGCCUACCAAGGCGACGAUGAAUAGCUGGUCUGAGAGGAUGACCAGCCACACUGGGACUGGAACACGGCCCAGACUCCUACGGGAGGCAGCAGUGGGGAAUAUUGCGCAAUGGGGGAAACCCUGACGCAGCGACGCCAUGUGAGGGACGAGGGCUUUCGGGUCGUAAACCUCUGUCAGGAGGGAAGAAACUGUUUGAGGCUAAUACCCUCUUUCACUGACGGUACCUCCAGAGGAAGCACCGGCUAACUCCGUGCCAGCAGCCGCGGUAAUACGGAGGGUGCGAGCGUUAAUCGGAAUCACUGGGCGUAAAGAGCGUGUAGGCGGUUUAGCAAGUCAGAUGUGAAAGCCCUGGGCUCAACCCGGGAAGUGCAUUUGAAACUGCUUCACUAGAGUAUGGGAGAGGAGACUGGAAUUCCUGGUGUAGAGGUGAAAUCCGUAGAUAUCAGGAGGAACACCCGUGGCGAAGGCGAUUCUCUGGACCAAUACUGACGCUGAGACGCGAAAGCGUGGGGAGCAAACAGGAUUAGAUACCCUGGUAGUCCACGCCGUAAACGAUGGACACUAGAUGCCGG
This 604-nucleotide ribosomal RNA is filed under the name uncultured sulfate-reducing bacterium. RNAcentral's name for it is "bacterial SSU rRNA". It matches the Rfam family "Bacterial small subunit ribosomal RNA", at positions 231 to 826 of the family's 1533-position model. The record is from RNAcentral.